Molecule: small nucleolar RNA, 107 nt
Organism: Ziziphus jujuba (common jujube)
Lineage: Eukaryota; Viridiplantae; Streptophyta; Magnoliopsida; Rosales; Rhamnaceae
Source: RefSeq, a predicted model, not a curated record
AAUCCAUGGUGUGGGCAUCUUCUUAAUAGUUCCUUGAAGCGCUUUCAUACAUCAUACAAAGUCUCUUGGCCUUGUUGAUAAAAAUUAUUUAUAUCACUUUUCAACUU